RNAcentral lists this ribosomal RNA (478 nucleotides) under uncultured bacterium. RNAcentral describes it as "partial 16S ribosomal RNA". It matches the Rfam family "Bacterial small subunit ribosomal RNA", at positions 28 to 523 of the family's 1533-position model. The record is from RNAcentral.
GACGAACGCUGGCGGCGUGCUUAACACAUGCAAGUCGAACGGUAAGGCCCUUCGGGGUACACGAGUGGCGAACGGGUGAGUAACACGUGGGUGAUCUGCCCUGCACUUCGGGAUAAGCCUGGGAAACUGGGUCUAAUACCGGAUAGGACUCCUGGCUUCAUGGUUGGGGGUGGAAAGCUUUUGCGGGGUGGGAUGGGCCCGCGGCCUAUCAGCUUGUUGGUGGGGUAAGGGCCUACCAAGGCGACGACGGGUAGCCGGCCUGGGAGGGGGACCGGUCACACUGGAACUGAGAUACGGCCCAGACUCCUACGGUAGGCAGCGGUGGAGAAUAUUGCACAAUGGGCGGAAGCCUGAUGCAGCGACGCCGCGUGAGGGAUGACGGCCUUCGGGUUGUAAACCUCUUUCAGCUAUGACGAAGCGCAAGUGACGGUAGUAGCAGAAGAAGGACCGGCCAACCACGUGCCAGCCGCCGCGGUAA